This is a long non-coding RNA of Xiphophorus hellerii (green swordtail), 368 nucleotides long. RefSeq lists it as uncharacterized. The record is from RefSeq and is a predicted model, not a curated record. The transcript has 2 exons. Lineage: Eukaryota; Metazoa; Chordata; Actinopteri; Cyprinodontiformes; Poeciliidae.
CUUUGUAAUUUGACGCCUUGAAAUUGUAUCCGUCUCUUUAAGAACUCCAGUUCUUCCUGAAACUCUGCCUUCAGGAUGUCAUCACAAUUUCUUUUCAAAAAGAAUCCUGCCUUGUUUUUGUGCAUUACAGACAAUAAUCACGUCUUUUUCCACGACUGAAAACUCCUUUUGCUCAUCUAAAAAAUGAUUCCGUUAUUUCCAUCGAACACAAUCCAAUUUUUGUUUUAAUCUAAGGGGCAAUAUCACACAUUUUCACAACAUGGCUCCUCUGCUAAAUAUUGUUUCAUGUCACAAUUACGCACAACAAUGUGCAAGUUUGCCAUAUAAAAGCCCAUUAAAAACAAUUUCUACUUGUAAAGGGACAAAAA